CCCCUGGAGGCCUCUGUACCCCACU
RNAcentral lists this microRNA (25 nucleotides) under Equus caballus (horse). RNAcentral's name for it is "eca-miR-8934". Lineage: Eukaryota; Metazoa; Chordata; Mammalia; Perissodactyla; Equidae. The record is from miRBase by way of RNAcentral.